UGGAAUGGUUUUUCAUUGAUGUAGCAGU
This 28-nucleotide non-coding RNA is filed under the name Rattus norvegicus (Norway rat). Lineage: Eukaryota; Metazoa; Chordata; Mammalia; Rodentia; Muridae. The record is from RNAcentral.